This 67-nucleotide transfer RNA is filed under the name Enterogyrus malmbergi. Its description in RNAcentral is "tRNA-Glu". Lineage: Eukaryota; Metazoa; Platyhelminthes; Monogenea; Dactylogyridea; Ancyrocephalidae. The record is from RNAcentral.
AUUAAUUUAGUGUAUGUAUAGCACGAAAGCUUUUCGUGCUUUCAGUAGUCAAUUAGGCUAAUUAAUA